Molecule: long non-coding RNA, 2000 nt
Organism: Xenopus tropicalis (tropical clawed frog)
Lineage: Eukaryota; Metazoa; Chordata; Amphibia; Anura; Pipidae
Exons: 4
Source: RefSeq, a predicted model, not a curated record
GAAGAUCAAUUGCAAAUUGUCUCAAAAUAUUACUCUCUACAUCAUAUUAAAAUUUAACUCAAAAAUUAAAAGAAAGAAACCUUUUUUCAGUAGCUGUGUAUAGAGAAAUACACACAUUCCUACAGGAGGUAGAGAAGAACAUUUCUACGGGCUGUAGUGACCAGGUGGUGCAUUGCAGUUGCUGGCCAACAACUUUUGCUGACACAAUAAAGCAAAUUCAACAUGCAAAUAUGUGAACUGAAUUUACCUUUCUGACCUGUGACCAUACACCAUCCCCAGCUAUAUGUAUAGGGCCUACAUUCGCCCAGCCAGCUUUAGCUAACUAAACGAUAACUGGAAAUCAGCUGUUACACCCACACAUUCAGCUUGGAAAUGGUGGUACAUAGACUUUGGGAAGACAGUUUUGGUAUGGUUAUGCUAGUUGUUUAAAAAAAAAAAAAAUCUUCAGGGUUACACAUUGCUGCAGUUCACUGCUGCACCUCUGUUCCUUAAUUACUAAGCUAGGGUUACAUACCUACACAAUCUACUUUAGGUAUCACUCAUUAAUUAGCAGGUAAAGGUUUAAAUUAGUCUUCCCAAUAGACAUGCUAAUAACCUGUUGGCUUGAAAAAUGGAGUGUUCUAAGCUGCCCUAUAAGGAGGGGGAGGAGGGCCUAUAUGUUUCUGACCCUGGGGUGUAUAAAUGCUGGUGAUUUCAGGCAAGUGACCUCUUUGCAGAUUAUUGACUGUUCAGUGGCUGAAAAGGGAAUUGUGCAGGAAUCCUGAUUGCAUUAUGUGUCAAGUUCCCCUGCCUGGGGGAAAGGGUGGGAUUGCACAAAAGAUAAAGGCAUGCUCUGUAAAGAUACCUAAGUGGGUGGGUUGCUUCUGCUACUGACCUGAGUCUGGACGUCCAUUUACAGAUGAAAUACUGAAGCCAAAACUGCCUUGUGGGGGGCGCUGAAGCUGUAAAAGGCGGGUUCCAUCAGGGUACACCUCAGCUACGCGCCCCAGCACCCUUGGCAUACCAGGGGAUCCAAUGUCUUCCACACUCAGUGCGCGCCUGAGUAAAACAAAGGUGCCGUGUUGGCAUCUUCCGUGAGGUAGACAGCAGAUCGCUCUGAUUUUCCCAGCAGGUUCUGCACUGAGGAUGCUUUCCGUGACUGUGGCAAAGAUGUCCUUGCUCCAGAACCAGGCUCUACAUUAUGUUGUUUAUUUUUGGAACUCCUAAGAGGACCCAAAGUGCGACAGGAUUUUUUCUGUGCCCUGUUGACCUCGUCUUCCCCAGAUGAGUCGGCAGUGGAAUCACCUCCAAUAUGGGUCUCUCGGAUGAGUUCAGAAUGGACUCUCCAUGGCUGUGAUGGAAGAAUCCAGUGAGGAGAAGGUUUGGUUCCCAAGGGAGAGUUAAUGGAUCCAUCCUGAGAUAUUCUAGAGCCUAAGUGAACGUUCCAUAGGUUUGACCCUGCAGAAUAAGCCUCCAGAUUCUGUCUCUGAACUCCUGAGCCCUUAAUAUAAGAGCCACAAGUUCCACAUUGGUUUUCAUUUCCAAAAGGUACCAGAUGCUGUGUCCAAGAUACGUGACCAUUGGAGCGGCGAGCUGGUGGUGUGGUUGGGGAGAUACCGGCUGAUGGAGGACCCUGCUGCUGACGUUCUCGGUAACGCUCCUCCACAUCACGCUCUGAUUCAUCUUGAAAUCGCACAUGAGAGGGUGAAGAUCCCCGUGAGCUUCGAUGCCAAGAACAAUGAUCGCUGCCAGAACUGUCACUUAAAGAGCCCCCAUCAGUCACAGCACCAGAUACACAGGGACCACUUAAGAAACAGAAAAAAAUAUAUACAUAUGUUAAAGCUUUCUUUUUUGUCAAUGUACAGUUUUUUAUUUUAAGUAUUUGUGAUGCACUGAAUAGAAUUUAGCUUUUACUGAAUACAUUGGAAACAGAAUGCCAAGGCAGGUGCCAUUAUGACGUGGCUCUUUCUGCCACAAACCAGACCUUGUAUACAUUAAAAUAAAAAUGUCAUAAGAAACAU